Molecule: unclassified non-coding RNA, 253 nt
Filed under: uncultured Caryophanales bacterium
Lineage: Bacteria; Bacillati; Bacillota; Bacilli; Caryophanales
Description: uncultured Bacillales bacterium contains 16S-23S intergenic spacer region
Rfam family: Bacterial small subunit ribosomal RNA
Source: RNAcentral
UACCCGCAGCACGAGUGGUGGUCACUAUUAUUGGGCGUAAAGCGCGCGCAGGCGGUUCCUUAAGUCUGAUGUGAAAGCCCACGGCUCAACCGUGGAGGGUCAUUGGAAACUGGGGGACUUGAGUACAGAAGAGGAAAGUGGAAUUCCACGUGUAGCGGUGAAAUGCGUAGAGAUGUGGAGGAACACCAGUGGCGAAGGCGACUUUCUGGUCUGUAACUGACGCUGAGGCGCGAAAGCGUGGGGAGCAAACAGG